This 253-nucleotide ribosomal RNA is filed under the name uncultured bacterium. Its description in RNAcentral is "partial 16S ribosomal RNA". It matches the Rfam family "Bacterial small subunit ribosomal RNA", at positions 524 to 776 of the family's 1533-position model. The record is from RNAcentral.
UACGUAGGGGGCUAGCGUUGUCCGGAAUCAUUGGGCGUAAAGAGCGUGUAGGCGGCCCGGUAAGUCCGCUGUGAAAGUCGGGGACUCAACCCUCGAAAGCCGGUGGAUACUGUCGGGCUAGAGUGCGGAAGAGGCGAGUGGAAUUCCUGGUGUAGCGGUGAAAUGCGCAGAUAUCAGGAGGAACACCGAUUGCGAAGGCAGCUCGCUGGGACGUAACUGACGCUGAGACGCGAAAGCGUGGGGAGCAAACAGG